AGAGUUUGAUCCUGGCUCAGGACGAACGCUGGCGGCGUGCUUAACACAUGCAAGUCGAACGAAGAGCGAUGGGAGCUUGCUCCUAUCAAUCUUAGUGGCGAACGGGUGAGUAACGCGUAAUCAACCUGCCCUUCAAUGGGGGACAACAGUUGGAAACGACUGCUAAUACCGCAUACGAUCGUAAUUCGGCAUCGAGUACGAUGAAAGGUGGCCUCUAUUUAUAAGCUAUCGUUGAAGGAGGGGAUUGCGUCUGAUUAGCUAGUUGGAGGGGUAACGGCCCACCAAGGCAAUGAUCAGUAGCCGGUCUGAGAGGAUGAACGGCCACAUUGGGACUGAGACACGGCCCAAACUCCUACGGGAGGCAGCAGUGGGGAAUCUUCCGCAAUGGACGAAAGUCUGACGGAGCAACGCCGCGUGAGUGAUGAAGGUCUUCGGAUUGUAAAGCUCUGUUAAUCGGGACGAAAGAGCCUAGUGUGAAUAAUGCUAGGAAGUGACGGUACCGGAAUAGAAAGCCACGGCUAACUACGUGCCAGCAGCCGCGGUAA
This 545-nucleotide ribosomal RNA is filed under the name uncultured bacterium. RNAcentral's name for it is "bacterial SSU rRNA". It matches the Rfam family "Bacterial small subunit ribosomal RNA", at positions 8 to 523 of the family's 1533-position model. The record is from RNAcentral.